UUCUAGAAGAACCAUGGAGGCCUGCC
This 26-nucleotide non-coding RNA is filed under the name Rattus norvegicus (Norway rat). Lineage: Eukaryota; Metazoa; Chordata; Mammalia; Rodentia; Muridae. The record is from RNAcentral.